RNAcentral lists this unclassified non-coding RNA (515 nucleotides) under Hevea brasiliensis (rubber tree). The record is from RNAcentral. Lineage: Eukaryota; Viridiplantae; Streptophyta; Magnoliopsida; Malpighiales; Euphorbiaceae.
GCCAUUUAAGGUACAAUAUAUUUACAAGAUGAGUGGAACAAAAAUGUAGAGAUUAAGAUGAAUGUUUAAUAACACAAUAAUAAAUAAAAUUAGGGAAGUAGUAUCACAGAAUUUACAGUUUUGGAUAUUGAAGUGAAUCUAAUGUUUAACAGAGUUGAAUGGCAAAAAAUAAUUUAUAUAAUCGACCUCAAUUAUAGUUUCGAUUAAAACUUAGUUAUAGUUGUAUAAUAUAUUCACAUCAAGCUUCUAUAUAAACAAAAUGAAACAUUAUAUAAUCAUAGAACAAUUUUUUAAAUUAGAUUAUGUGACAAAGCUUUUAUAUAUUUAUUGUUAGAGAUAUUCCCAUUAGGGGAGUACAUUCGGUUAGUUGAAUCGAAUCGAAUCGAAUUGUCAACUAAUUAUAUUAUUAAAUGACUUUAAAAUUAUUAAUUCAAUUCAACUAAAAUUGAGAGAAAAUUGAAAUUAACGAAAAUAUAAAAUAUUCAAUCAGUUGUUAGUUAUAACUAGAGAAACAA